CGCGUGAAGUAGACCGCCUGGGGAGUACGGUCGCAAGAUUAAAACUCAAAGGAAUUGACGGGGACCCGCACAAGCGGUGGAUGAUGUGGAUUAAUUCGAUGCAACGCGAAAAACCUUACCUACCCUUGACAUGGAUGGAAUCCCGAAGAGAUUUGGGAGUGCUCGAAAGAGAACCAUCACACAGGUGCUGCAUGGCUGUCGUCAGCUCGUGUCGUGAGAUGUUGGGUUAAGUCCCGCAACGAGCGCAACCCUUGUCAUUAGUUGCUACGAAAGGGCACUCUAAUGAGACUGCCGGUGACAAACCGGAGGAAGGUGGGGAUGACGUCAAGUCCUCAUGGCCCUUAUGGGUAGGGCUUCACACGUCAUACAAUGGUACAUACAGAGGGCCGCCAACCCGCGAGGGGGAGCUAAUCCCAGAAAGUGUAUCGUAGUCCGGAUUGGAGUCUGCAACUCGACUCCAUGAAGUUGGAAUCGCUAGUAAUCGCGGAUCAGCAUGUCGCGGUGAAUACGUUCCCGGGUCUUGUACACACCGCCCGUCACACCAUGGGAGCGGGUUUUACCAGAAGUGGGUAGCCUAACCGCAAGGAGGGCGCUCACCACGGUAGGAUUCGUGACUGGGGUGAAGUCGUAACAAGGUAACC
RNAcentral lists this ribosomal RNA (641 nucleotides) under uncultured bacterium. RNAcentral's name for it is "bacterial SSU rRNA". It matches the Rfam family "Bacterial small subunit ribosomal RNA", at positions 856 to 1501 of the family's 1533-position model. The record is from RNAcentral.